CCGGCGCACGGGUGAGUAACACGUAUGCAAUCCACCUGUAACAGGGGGAUAACCCGGAGAAAUCCGGACUAAUACCCCAUAAUAUGGGCGCUCCGCAUGGAGAGUUCAUUAAGGAGAGCAAUUUUGGUUACAGACGAGCAUGCGCUCCAUUAGCCAGUUGGCGGGGUAACGGCCCACCAAGGCGACGAUGGAUAGGGGUUCUGAGAGGAAGGUCCCCCACAUUGGAACUGAGACACGGUCCAA
This 243-nucleotide ribosomal RNA is filed under the name uncultured bacterium. Its description in RNAcentral is "partial 16S ribosomal RNA". It matches the Rfam family "Bacterial small subunit ribosomal RNA", at positions 95 to 334 of the family's 1533-position model. The record is from RNAcentral.